UGAGUAACGCGUAAGUAAUCUACCCUGGUGUCUGGAAUAACACUCCGAAAGGUGUGCUAAUACCGGAUACGUUGGUUUACCAAGAAAGGUGGCCUCUGAAUAUGCUACUGCACUGGGAGGAGCUUGCGUACCAUUAGCUAGUUGGUGGGGUAAUGGCCUACCAANGGCGACNAUGGUUAGCGGGUCUGAAAGGAUGAUCCCCCACACUGGAACUGGAACACGGACCANACUCCUACGGGAGGCAGCAGUGAGGAAUAUUGC
This 261-nucleotide ribosomal RNA is filed under the name uncultured delta proteobacterium. Its description in RNAcentral is "partial 16S ribosomal RNA". It matches the Rfam family "Bacterial small subunit ribosomal RNA", at positions 107 to 367 of the family's 1533-position model. The record is from RNAcentral. Lineage: Bacteria; Deltaproteobacteria.